Peromyscus californicus insignis is the source of this 8652-nucleotide long non-coding RNA. RefSeq lists it as uncharacterized. NCBI's taxonomy places the organism in Eukaryota, Metazoa, Chordata, Mammalia, Rodentia, Cricetidae. The record is from RefSeq and is a predicted model, not a curated record. The transcript has 8 exons.
CCCUUGUGGUCAUCUGUUUUUGCAGCUGAUUUUGCAGUAUCCAACCUAGAGUUCAGUUAGAAUAGGUAUUCAACUAACACCUGUUAAUACUGGGCGGUGGUGAGGUGGGUGGGCUUUAUAACAUGAGCUUGUCAUGGCUUAUACUGGGCUUUGUUGUUCCUCAUUUACUGAGUUACAAAUGAUCCUGUGGUCCAGAGCUCUUGCAGGUGCCCAGUCAUCUGCUAGGAAGGAAAGCUCUGCUGCCAGCAUCUGGUUGGGGUACUGGAGCCAUCCUAAGAUGGCUUCCAUUCAGCUUCUUUACUAUGUUGGAGCUCAGUUGUUUCUCUAUUCCUUGGUGAUUGAGUUCUUUGUAGAGCUGUGGUCUGUUUUCUAAAUGGCUGGCCAGAGUGAAAGCACCAUGCCAGACUUCUUAAUUACUCAAAUUGUAAAUUCUCAUUUUCUAGCUAUUAGUCAUUAGUAAUUCCUAUUUAUUUUUCCUUGUGGAAUUUGUAUAUGCAUUGGGGACCCUUCUCCAUGUUUAUUGUCCAAAUGUAUUUGUUUGUUUAUUUAUUUAUAGAUGACUCUCCUUAUGUUUACAAGCCUGGUGACUGGAAGCCCAGGCUAACCUCAAGUUUCAAUUCCUCUGUCUCUGAGGACUGAAUGCUAUGAUUAUAGACCUGAACUAUCAAGUCUAGCCUAUGGAUAGUCUAGUCUAGUAAUGGAUGGGAAAUUUUUAAUGCUGGUACCAACAAUUUUCAAUCACUAACUGAAACACCACAAAGCCGUUUGAGAAAGAGUGACUCACUGUGCACCCGAGCCUUUUCUCUAUCCCGCUCUGGUCCUGCGGUCCUGCAGCCACUUUUAAAAUAAUCACUCAGAGGCUUAAUAUUAAUUACAAAUUGUUUGGCCUAUGGCUCAGGCUUAUUGCUAGCUAGCUAUUGCAUCUUAAAUUAACCCAUUUCUAUUAAUCUAUAUUUUGCCAAAUGUCUUGUGGCUUUACCUGUGUUCAGUUACAUCUUUCUCCCCCAAACCCCCCACCCCCUUGGCUCGCAGCAUCUCCUCUGACACCGCCUUUCUUCUCCCUGAAUCUUUGCUUGGAUUUCCCACCUGGCUAUAGCCUGUCUUGCCAUAGGCCAAAGCAGCUUCUUUAUUAACCAAUGGUAAUAAAACAUAUUCACAGCUACACAAUGCUUAAAAAUUCUAGAUGCUUCUAAAAACAUAGCAACCCCUGCAAUAUCUGCAAAGAUGCUAAUUGGAAGCUGUGUGACUCUGUCGAUCAAGAUACCCCACAGCAACACACUUUUUCCUGCUUUGUUUAUGAGCCUUCAGUAAGAUCCCCUCAUAAUUAAAAAGGCACAAGGAGGCUUUAAUAUAAGAAUUAAAUAGCCUUGAUUAUUAUUCAUCAUUAUCAUGACUCCCCUUUGCUCUUCUGGAAUUGUUCAUUUUCUUACUAUUAUCAUUGCCUUUACCUUGGAACUCAAGGUAGACUUGGGUACGGGUGAGAUGUUUUGAGCCCUGUCUCUCUUACUUAGCCAUUAUUCUUCCUACCAUCUUAGUACCCUGUCUCAUUUAUUUCCUCCCUCCCUCCCUCUUUCCUCCCUUUCCUCCUUUCUCCCUUCCCUUCUUUCUUAAACGAGUCUCACAAUUUAGCUCAGUGGGCCUAGAACUCAGUCUGCAGAGCAGGAUGGCCAGCCUGUGCUUUGGAGUGCUGGGGAAGAGAGAAUGUCACCCCCCGGCAUUCUUAUUCACUACUGUGAGUCCUUUCCACGAACAGUUCUUGUAUUUUGUUGUCUUGUUCCGUUAUAGAUGAUGUAUUUUCUGAUUCUGUUCUGUUUGGUUCUUUUCUCCUUUUGGCAGUGGACAGGGUAAAUAUGAUGGUGGAACACGUCCCCUUGUGCCAAGAGGCUUAACGCUGUCGCCUAGUGAAACUUCACAACUUUCCAAAAAGAAAAUGAGGUUAUGGGAUAUGCUGACACACUGUGAAUUGUGCAAUUGUGUUAAGAAGCAGAAGCCCCAAACCAACCCAAAAAACAGAACACACUCAAACCCCAAAUGAAUAAGCACAAUUAUGUCUUUUUCAAACCUUUCAAAAAAAUGGUGAAAAGGACAGCGACAGAAAAAUACUGUAAUCUGUAAGAGAACAAAAAUUUGCCUUUAACUUGAGAAGUGUUUGAAAGGUAGACAAGACUGAUUUGGGGAGCCAUUGUCUUGUGUCCUGAUGGAACUAAGGAAAGCUGUCAGAAAGGAGAGAGAGAAGAUGAUGGCCACAAAAUGGAGAAGUUGCUGGCAGAUAGUUACGGGACCCUUCAAGAAGACAAUGAGAAUUAAUAAACCAAUGAAAAUUAAUAGAUAGAUGGUCAUAACUGGCUUUUUAAGGCUGAUGAACAAGUGACAGAGGAAAUGGAAACAAUUGUUCAUCAGGCCAAGUGGGAAGAAGUGGUAGUGUGGAGUCUGAUUUUAAAUGAUUUUUCCAAAUCUGGUCCUAAAUUCUUCAAGCUAUGCAUGAUAGAAAGAAAAGUUGCAGCAUGAUGAUUUGGAUAUUGUAUGGAAGCUCAAUCUUGAUUUAUGGUUUUAUUUAAUUAAUUGAGUAAUUUAGCUGUGUUGGGGGAUCGCACCCAGAGCCUUGUACAUGCUUGGAAAUCGUUGUAGCAUGGAGUUAUGGUCACUACUUUAAUGCAUGCACCUUUUAUCUCCCCCAGUCACCGUUGUCACAGUUCAAGUCCUGAGGAGAAGGGAGGGAUGGGCUCUGGUGAGGUUAGGAGAGAAGGAGUAAGGUCUUGUGUUCUCGUCUUCCGAGGCUUGGAGUAACGUGACUGAAUUUCUCAGACUCAGAUAUUCCACCUGCAAAACUGAGGCAAUGAAGCUGCACAAUGCUUAAAAAUUCUAGAUGCUUCUAAAAACAUAGCAACCCCUCCAAUAUCUGCAAAGAUGCUAAUUGGAAGCUGUGUGACUCUGUCGAUCAAUGGUAAUGUAUCUUAGAAACAUCAGAGAGAAGUUUAUGAACUUAAAGGGGAAAACCUUUAAGAUGGUUGCCACGUAGAUGACAUUACUUGCCCACAUUCUUGGGAGAACUGAUUUUAUAGUUGAAAGCUUUUUAUUUGAAAUGAAUUCACAGUUCUUAAAUACUUUCAUGUGUGCCUCAGCCCAAACAUUGCAAAUUGAUGGAGAUUAUUAGGUAUAACUUUUGACAAUAGAGGAAAUUGAAAAGAGAUUUUCUUAUGAGUUUUACUUUGAGCUAUUUCCUUAAGUUCCAAGGGUAAAAUGUACACUUUACAAUUUAAAUGAUAACGUAAAAACGUAGCUCCAAAACUCUGAAGAUGGUGUCCCUUUAAGCUUUCUUUAAAAAAAUGCUAAGAACCAUUUUUAUUGGGUUGUGCAUUUUUGGUUUAGCUGGAUUAAUCUCGUAGUUGCCAAGGCAGAUUGAUUUGCUUAUAAACUUGUUAAACCCAAUCUGCACACAACCACAUCACAGAUAAUACAGUGGGAAAAGACCACUCAAAUUGUCAGUCUGCAUCCACUCACCACCUCAGUCUUAUUAAUUAAUGUCUGAUUUAACUUCUUAGGCAAUGCUCUCCACAUUGCGUGUCUUACACGUUGUAUGUUUAAGUGACAUGCUGACGAUCGUUAGCCAUGUGUGCUGAUGUGGUCAAAAAGACCUGAUGUGAGACCAGAAUUCCCAUUUUAGUGACAUACUAAGGCUGGGAUGCUGUGAGUGAAUCACUGUUGCUGCGUCAACAUGGAGGCCCCCAUGUGUGGGCUGCUGUGUUGGAGACAGCUAUCCAGGUGCCAAGCAUCUUUCCUCCACAUUGGUGCCAGUAGUUCAGGAAGAAGAGUGUGCCACUCCCCGGUGACUAGCAGUUAAGAACGUUCCAUGGAUGCCUUCCACUUUAUAAAAGCCUCUUAGUUUUAAAACGAAUAAAGCUUCGUUUUGUUCCCCUUCAUUUAUCUAAUGAGCUUGUUAGUGAGGCACAUGGAAUUAUGACAUUGGUGAGGUUGAAAUUUCCUUUAGAGGGGGUACUUAGAUUGCCUAGUAAUGUUUGUGAUGGUAUUGCAUGAAAAUGUUAUAGGUCUGUGAUUGGGGAAGAGAGAGAGAGAGAGAAAGAGAGAGAGAGAGAGACAGAGAUAGAGAGAGACAGAGAGGCAGAGACAGAGAGACAGAGACAGAGAGACAGAGACAGAGAGAGACAGAGAGGCAGAGACAGAGAGACAGAGACAGAGAGAGACAGAGAGACAGAGAGUCAGAGACAGAGAGAGACAGAGACAGAGAGAGACAGAGGCAGAGACAGAGAGACAGAGACAGAGAGAGACAGAGACAGAGAUGACAGAGACAGAAAGAGACAGACUAAGAGAGACAGAGGAAGAGCAACAGAGAGAUAGAGAAAGAGAGACACACAGAGAAAGACAGAGACACAGAAAGAUAGACAGUGAGACAGAGACAGAGAGAGACAGAGAGAGACAGACACACAGGGACACAUAAAGAGAGACAGACAGACAGAGAGACAGAGAAACACACACACACACACACACACACACACACACACACACACACACACACACGAUGCUUACAGAACAGGAGAAAUGAUUUCUCUUCCAACAGGUGACAGCAUUGAAGCUUUCAUGUAUUAGCUGCUAGAAGUUUAUCCACCACAAUGUACGCAGAAAUACAUUUUCUUGAGUUGGUCUUGGUUUUACUCGAGAUUUGCUCUGCCUCAAUUUGACCCACUUCAGUUUUAGGCCAGAUGAAAUAUCUAGUGACUUCAUCUCAAAGGUUGGCUGUCUUCUUCCGUGGCAUCUGACAGCAAGAGUGAAUGAAGGCCAUCUACAAUUCUGGCUGUCUUGCCCGGGCAUGGCUCUGGUCUUGGCUGUUGGCCAAGUAGCAUCUGGACUCUCCUGAUCCCGUCCCGAGACUAACUUUCAAGUAUGCUGCUAAUUUCUAUAACUCUGCCUGGAGGAGACAAUGUAAUUUCUUCCAGUCCAGAGGCUUCCAUUAUCAUACUAGAUUAAGUGGCCAUCACACUCCAGAAUGACCUCAUCUUAAUUUACAUUUAAUUACAUCUGCAAAGACCCUAUUUCACUAUGAGGGCACAUUCCCAGUCAUCAAGGUUUAGAACUCCAACAGAUCUUCUUGUGGGAUGCAAUUAACUCUGCAGAAGUGACUGCACAUUGGGACCGGGGAGGGUAUUUGUGAAUUGCUUAAACAAAUAGCAAGCUGGACUUCACUGAUGUUGGAAAAACUUAUUUUCCAUACAUUUGUUUUUCUUUCAAUGGAGCUCCAUUUUUGGAACUUGUGGUGGUCGGUUUUAACUCUUAUCUUGACAGGUUCUAGAAUCCUCUGAGAAGUGAGCCUCUGGAUAUGCUCAUGGGAGGUUAUUUUGAUUACAAUAACUGAGACAUGAAGAGCCAGCUACAGUGGGUGGCAUCAUUCCCUGAUGGGGACCUUGGACUGUGUGAAGUGGAGAAAGGGAAUUGAGAAGCACCAUGCCUUCAUCCCAGUCAAUUUCCUCACUGGGGAUGGAAUGCACACUCCUAUCCAUAUUCCUGAUGUCUUGACCUCCCCCACCAUGAUGGACUGUGCCUUGAACCUGAACAUUGAUGCUGGACAGUGAGGCCACAGAAGUUCUCUUACACUGGAAACCUCAGCCCUCUCAGCUCCUCCAGAAUCAGAAUCAAUGCUUGGAACGAGAAAUAGUCAUUCUUUUCGCAUGGCAGUGGUUGUCUGGUGACCUUGAGUCUCUCAAAUCAGGCCUUGAGAAACCCUGUCAUCUGUUUAUUGUUUUGAAGGUUCAAAUGUCUUCCACUAGUACUCAGUGAGACCCUAAAGCAGAUGAUGGCAUUCCUGGAGUGAGUGAAUUGCUUGAUCAAAAUUCAGGAAAAAAUAUGGGAGGAAGAAGUUAAAAUCUAAAGGGCUAUAGAGCUAAACAGAGAAUUCUCAACAGAGGAAACUCAAAUGGCUGAAAGACAUUUAAGGAAUUGCUCAACAUCCCUAAUCAUCAGGGAAAUGCAAAUCAAAACAACUCUGAGAUACCACCUUACGCCUGUCAGAAUGGCUAAGAUCAAAAACACUGAAGACACCUUAUGCUGGAGAGGAUGUGGAGCUAGGGGAACUCUCCUCCACUGCUGGUGGGAAUGCAAGCUUGUACAACCACUUUGGAAAUCAAUAUGGUGCUUUCUUAGAAAAUUGGGAAUCCAUCUCCCCCAAGAUCCAGCUAUACCACUCUUGGGCAUAUACCCAAGGAAUGCUCAACCACACCACAAGAGCACUUGUUCAACUAUGUUCAUAUCAGCAUUGUUUGUAAUAGCCAGAACAUGGAAACAACUUAGAUGCCCUUCAACUGAAGAAUGGAUAAACAAAAUGUGGUACAUAUACACAAUGGAAUACUACUCAGCAGAGAAAAACAAUGACAUCAUGAGGUUUGCAGACAAAUGGAUGGAUCUAGAAAAAAUCAUCCUGAGUGAGGUAACCCAGACUCAGAAAGACAAACACGAUAAGAGGCAUAAAUUACGAUUCUGGCUGUUGUUCACCCUCACAUCGCUGCUGUCUGGCCUCCUUUCCCAUUCUCUGAACAUGAAAGGAAUGAGGAGGUUAUUGGGAGGUAGGAGGAGUUCUCCUGCUUUGGUUACCAAGGAAUCUUGAAUGUCAUCCAUCCUGCAAAGCAGCAGGCAGACCUACUAUAAGGAGUCAAUUGAAAAGCAGGCCCUGGGAGGCUGGAGAGAUGGCUCAGAGGUUAAGAGCACACCUUAUCUUGCAGAAGAUCUGGCAUCAGCACCGUGGUAACUACUUUAGGCAACUUACAACCACCUACACGAUAACUCCAGCUCCAUGGGGCUGUGACACCUCUGGCCUCAUUCUACUCCGGCACUCAUCUGCAACACCCCAACAACAUGCACAUAACUGAAGAUAAUCAAAUAAAUAUUUAUAAAAGAAAAGUCGCCUCCAGAACUGGGCCUGUAGUUCAGCAGCAGAGUACUUGCUUCACAUAUGCCAGGUCCUGGGUGCCACCCCUAGCAUUGAACAAAUAAAGUCUCUGUUACCUUUGUCCCUCCUUCUCAGAGUUGAACUGAGGAAACCCAAGUGCUCAGUUUUGCUUAGGAAAUGACAUGAAGCAGUUUUGGGUCUAUGAUAUGUAAUCACCAAAAGGCCAGCUUCUUCAGGAAGCAGGAACAAACAACUCUGUCCCCGUGAAAAUAAAAACAACUGCUGCAAGAUUUGAUGUAAGUAAAUACUAUGGUGUGGGGAAGAAGUCUUAUAAAGAAUUCUGAGGUGGCGAGCUCUAUGAAAUACCAGGAGCCUUUGGUUAACUACAGGAGCCAAAAUACAGCGCCACUCACUGUAAUCAGCCCCAUCACCGCUAAGGCUGAUACAUUCAUUAUUGAAGACAGAAUCCAAUGCAGCAGACAUUAGACACGACUGUACAGUUCUUAGAAAUAAAUUACAACUCAGCUCUGGAAAUAAAAAAUUCAUCCAAUUGGCCACUUAAGGGCGAUGGUGGGUUAUCUUAAAAAAAGAACCCUACACUUUCAUAACAAUGUACAAUUUAAAGAACUUUGAAAAUCUUCUGUGACCUGUGGGUAAAAAGACAUCUCAAGAAUGCAGACAAGAGCCUUUUCUUCACGUGGGUCUCUCUUGUUUCCCUGUUAAAGUAAAAGGAAUCUGAGGUUCGUGGAACCCUUGCGAUGGUUUCAUUGAUGGAUCACUUCAAGAAGAGUGUGGAUGGUUUAUUUUCACAAAUCAGCUUUAGUUUCUUUUUAUGAAAUGAAUGAACAAGAAGCCUGUUAAAGGGAUUGUAAAAAUCCUUCUUUUUAAUUGUUUACUCUGUGAGGGUGACAGUACGUGCCAGCCUGAUGUAUGAGGAGCCCACACUUACUGCAGUCAACAUCAAUUAUAGUGGGGGUACAUGGCCAUCCUUCAACCUCUGGACACCCAUUGCUAAUCUUUUAGUUUGAGUCUUCUCUCCAAUGGGAAAAGUAGGAUUUUCUUCAUCUCUGACUGUUUUGCUUUUGUUUUUGAACUUACUUUUCUGGUGUCCUCGUCCCCACCCUUGUCUUCCUCCUCCUCCUCUUCUUUUCUCUGUGAUUUAUCCCUUAGUUACCUUUUAAGAAAGGUAACUAACAUUUUAGUGUAGUAGUCUGUGCUUUUAGUGUGGAACCUCACCCUCAGUUUCACUUCCACUGGAAACUAUAUUGAGCUCUGUUUCAAAUAAUCUCAGAAAUUUUCUUCACUGUUAUUUUCAGUAGGCCAAGGCUCCAGAAAUUGUGUGUUACGACCCUAUUUAGGGUCCUGUGACUAAAUAUGGGGAUCAUAGAAAUUUUGGUAACAUUAAAAAGAUUUCCUGACAGAUAACAAUCAAAACUUAAUAAAAAAAAAGUAGAAAAAUCAAGCACAUAGUGACUCUGAGGUGUUUCUGACAGUACUUGCCUGUAUUGCAUCACGCGACUUCACUAUGGUGAUACAUUUUUUUGCAUCCCCAUAAGCUUCUCCACCGAUGCAGCAAUCCAAAUCAGACUGACUUAGAAAAAGCUCCAGUUGAAUGGGUAAAGCAUUCCUGGGUGAUUCUCCAGUCUCCCAGAGAGGAGACCAGGACGAGAGACCCCAAAACCACGUGUCUGUUUUCUGGGAUGCAGCUUAAAUACCCUGUGGGAGUGGUCUUGAGCCUCUCUGGGGGAGGAGCUGUG